GAUGAACGCCGGCGGUGUGCCUAAUACAUGCAAGUCGUACGCACUGGCCCAACUGAUUGAUGGUGCUUGCACCUGAUUGACGAUGGAUCACCAGUGAGUGGCGGACGGGUGAGUAACACGUAGGUAACCUGCCCCGGAGCGGGGGAUAACAUUUGGAAACUGGUGCUAAUACCGGAUAAUAAAGCAGAUCGCAUGAUCAGCUUUUGAAAGGCGGCGUAAGCUGUCGCUAAGGGAUGGCCCCGCGGUGCAUUAGCUAGUUGGUAAGGUAACGGCUUACCAAGGCGACGAUGCAUAGCCGAGUUGAGAGACUGAUCGGCCACAUUGGGACUGAGACACGGCCCAA
This 343-nucleotide ribosomal RNA is filed under the name uncultured bacterium. RNAcentral describes it as "bacterial SSU rRNA". It matches the Rfam family "Bacterial small subunit ribosomal RNA", at positions 28 to 334 of the family's 1533-position model. The record is from RNAcentral.